UAACUAUGAUGUGGACAAGUAAGUAGAAGGUCUUUGAAGUGCUCCCAAGCUUGGAAAAAUAGUUCAUUCUCCUUUUGAGAGAACAAUAUGAUUUCCUGUUUAAGUGC
This is a small nucleolar RNA of Magnolia sinica, 107 nucleotides long. Lineage: Eukaryota; Viridiplantae; Streptophyta; Magnoliopsida; Magnoliales; Magnoliaceae. The record is from RefSeq and is a predicted model, not a curated record.